UAGAAAUUACUAUGUAGGUACAUAAACACAAGACAAAAUAACAUGGUAUGAAAAUCUCUUCUAAAUUUUAAUGGACUAUACCCACAAGCAUCGUGCUUCUUCCGAUUGGUCUGUAAAUUCCCGCCAAAAUGUAUUACUUUUAAAUAGGUUAUCAUCAUAUUUUAUAGAAAUUCACCAUAAUUUCUACUAUUUUUUUUUUAUCUACAUGCAUAUGAUUUAAUAACCUAAAUUACCUAAACAAAUAAAUAUUACACAAAACACAACGUAAUAAACAAUAAUUAAAUAUUAAUGAUAACAGUUAUGAUUGCUGAUAAGGUAACUAACGGCAUGAUGCCUAACGUCACACGACUGAGUAUCACGUUAAUCAUUAAUGUCAUUAUGCCAUGUUAUUUUAUCAUGUAUACUAGGCGAUCCCGUGCACUUGGUUGCCCGUUAAAAAUGCCAACUCUUUAUGAGACUCGCUUGUCAUAAUAUAAAAAGUGAAUAACAAGUUUUAUUUUUAUUUAUUUUGAUACUGUGAACACUCCAUGAGCGGCUACUUGUAGCAACUCGGCUACUUUGGUUGGCAAUGUGCAACAAUUCGAUUUGACGCAUACUUAAUUAGCCAAUGGCAACCAACAAAUAAAAAUAAAUACUAGUGUCUACUGAAAAAUUAAGAAAGUUGCUCGGAAAAUUAGUUAUUAAUUAAAAUCAGUUUCCAAAAUUGUAUACUUAUACACACGGUGGCCCGCGGGUUUCCAGCUACCUGUGACCUGACCUUUUUGUCUAUCAAAUUAGGUGAUUGACUUGCUCUUGUAUAUCUUUGACUUGUAGCAUUGCGAGUUCUGUGACUUAGUUUGUAAGUCUAAUUGCCGGUAUUUUUAAAAACAAAAAUAUUCCAUCAAAACUUCUUAAAAUAUUAAGCUUGAUUGUUUUGAACCAACCAUGAUGAACAAACACUUAUCAAAAAACUUACUAUACAAUUACAGUAGAACCUCGAUUAUCCGAACUAAUUGGGACCGCACCUAGUUCGGAUACGCAAAAGUUCGGAUAUUGGAAAUUUAAAAAAAAAAUUUAGAAUUACAUAAGCCUGUUGCGUUUUGGUUAUCUACUAAUGAUUGACGCACGUAAAAUACAUAACCUGUACUAAUAAUAAUCCAAAAAGGCAAAAACGAUAGUUAUGAUAAAUUCGAUAAACCGGCCGACCGGCCGGAUACGAAUUUUCAUGUUCGGAUAA
This is a long non-coding RNA of Myzus persicae (green peach aphid), 1216 nucleotides long. RefSeq lists it as uncharacterized. The transcript is spliced from 2 exons. The record is from RefSeq and is a predicted model, not a curated record. NCBI's taxonomy places the organism in Eukaryota, Metazoa, Arthropoda, Insecta, Hemiptera, Aphididae.